UCAGUUUCCCUUCCCUCAUCAGAGAGAAAGAAACCCUCUGAAACAGAUCCAAGUAUGACUUUUCAGCUGAAAACCGAUGCUCGAUUCUUUGACCUGCACUGCUGUGUUGGUCUGACAGACUGGGACAUGGAUAAAGAGCUGAAACUGGCUACUACCACUGACCAAAUUCAUCAUGAUGACAAACCAAAUGAUCAAUAUGUGGCUCAAAGACCUUCUGCAAGGGCCUCGAGAAGAAAAGAUGAAUUCAUUUGGUACGAUAAAACAUCAGAUACAUUUGUUAAACCAAACCCGUGCCUUUGGGUGAAUCCCAACAUCGUCUGUCCAAUCGAAUAUAUAUCCAG
Fundulus heteroclitus (mummichog) is the source of this 341-nucleotide long non-coding RNA. RefSeq lists it as uncharacterized. NCBI's taxonomy places the organism in Eukaryota, Metazoa, Chordata, Actinopteri, Cyprinodontiformes, Fundulidae. The transcript is spliced from 3 exons. The record is from RefSeq and is a predicted model, not a curated record.